GAUGAACGCUGGCGGCGUGCCUAAUACAUGCAAGUCGAGCGAACGGACGAGAAGCUUGCUUCUCUGAUGUUAGCGGCGGACGUGUGAGUAACACGUGGAUAACCUACCUAUAAGACUGGGAUAACUUCGGGAAACCGGAGCUAAUACCGGAUAAUAUUUUGAACCGCAUGGUUCAAAAGUGAAAGACGGUCUUGCUGUCACUUAUAGAUGGAUCCGCGCUGCAUUAGCUAGUUGGUAAGGUAACGGCUUACCAAGGCAACGAUGCAUAGCCGACCUGGGAGGGUGAUCGGCCACACUGGAACUGAGACACGGUCCAGACUCCUACGGGAGGCAGCAGUAGGGAAUCUUGCGCAAUGGGCGAAAGCCUGACGGAGCAACGCCGCGUGAGUGAUGAAGGUCUUCGGAUCGUAAAACUCUGUUAUUAGGGAAGAACAUAUGUGUAAGUAACUGUGCACAUCUUGACGGUACCUAAUCAGAAAGCCACGGCUAACUACGUG
Molecule: ribosomal RNA, 497 nt
Filed under: uncultured bacterium
Lineage: Bacteria
Description: partial 16S ribosomal RNA
Rfam family: Bacterial small subunit ribosomal RNA
Source: RNAcentral